AGAGUUUGAUCCUGGCUCAGGAUGAACAUUGGCGGCAUGCUUAACACAUGCAAGUCGCACGCAACUUCGGUGAGUGGCGCACGGGUGCGUAACACGUAGAUAACCUGCCCUGAAGUGGGGAAUAACCACGAGAAAUCGUGGCUAAUACCGCAUAGUCUCGGUGACGAGUAAAGCAGCAAUGCGCUUUAGGAGGGGUCUGCGGCCUAUCAGCUAGUUGGUGGGGUAAAAGCCUACCAAGGCACGACGGGUAGCUGAUCUGAGAGGAUGGUCAGCCACAGGGGAACUGAGACACGGUCCCCACUCCUACGGGAGGCAGCAGUGAGGAAUAUUGGGCAAUGGGCGCAAGCCUGACCCAGCAAUGCCGCGUGCGGGAUGAAGGUCCUCGGAUCGUAAACCGCUUUUGUGGGGGAGUAGCAAGGAGAGUACCCCACGAAUAAGUCACGGCUAACUACGUGCCAGCAGCCGCGGUAAUAC
This 474-nucleotide ribosomal RNA is filed under the name uncultured bacterium. RNAcentral's name for it is "bacterial SSU rRNA". It matches the Rfam family "Bacterial small subunit ribosomal RNA", at positions 8 to 526 of the family's 1533-position model. The record is from RNAcentral.